RNAcentral lists this ribosomal RNA (421 nucleotides) under uncultured bacterium. RNAcentral's name for it is "partial 16S ribosomal RNA". It matches the Rfam family "Bacterial small subunit ribosomal RNA", at positions 360 to 773 of the family's 1533-position model. The record is from RNAcentral.
AUUAUUGGACAAUGGGGGAAACCCUGCUCCAGCCAUGCCGCGUGUGUGAAAAAGUUCUUCGGAUCUUAAAGAACUUUAAGUGGGGAGGAAGGGCUUUAGAUUAAUACCCUGAUGUUUUGACGUUACCAACAGAAUAAGCACUGCCGACAUCUGUGCAAGCAGCCGCGGUAAUACAGAGGUUGCAAGCGUUAAUCGGAAUUACUGGGCGUAAAGCGCGCGUAGGUGGUUCAGUAAGAUGGGUGUGAAAUCCCCGGGCUUAACCUGGGAACUGCUUUCAUAACUGCUGAGCUAGAGUAAGGUAGAGGGUAGUGGAAUUUCCUGUGUAGCGGUGAAAUGCGUAGAUAUAGGAAGGAAAACCAGUGGCGAAGGCGACUACCUGGACUGAUACUGACACUGAGGUGCGAAAGCGUGGGGAGCAAAC